AAGAUGCAGAGCCCUCGGCCCAACAGAUGACAGGCACCAGAGGGAAGGUGAGCCCGGUGAGGAAGGCAGUGCACAGACUUCUAACGCGCAGUCCAACGUGACAGGGACCCUGCCUGAGAUGUACACAGCCUCACAGGGCCGAAGCCAACUCACAGUGAGGUGACGGACACAGUUUGGUCCUCUGGAGCUGCCCUUGUAGGUGAUCUCCGAGUAUUGAAAGGAUCAGCAACGAAGCACUGAGCUUUUUGGAUUGCAGGUGCCAUCCAGGUAACCCUUGGGAGCAGAUGAGCAUUGGAGGUGAGUCGGGGAGGCAGCAGGAGGAGCGGGGAUCCACUGCAGCUUUAGA
This is a long non-coding RNA of Pipra filicauda (Wire-tailed manakin), 346 nucleotides long. RefSeq lists it as uncharacterized. The record is from RefSeq and is a predicted model, not a curated record. The transcript has 3 exons. Lineage: Eukaryota; Metazoa; Chordata; Aves; Passeriformes; Pipridae.